CUUACAGGAAUGUCUAUAGCAUUUGAACCUAACUUGUGAGUCAAGCCUGAGACCAGGUUUAAGGAUUAGAAGGAGUGGAGUUAAUGGGAUGAAUUUAAGCAGAGAAAGAAUUAGGCUGAAUAAUUUGAGACGUGCUGCUCCCCUCACGUACACAAGCACGGCAAUCACUAUAAAGCAAUCUUGUUAUAUAAAAACUUUUAAGCCCAAGAGAUGUAGAAACAAAUCAAUGGAAAAGUAGGUUUUUAGGGUUGGUUUUUAAAAGCUUGGUGCAGUGGCAUCUGGCUGGGGCAUCCUGCCCAUCUUGGAGGAGUAGGGCUUGGUUUAGAUACCACAGAGUCUUGGCACAGCCCUUAGCUUGUAGGUGCAUUCCCAGGAUGCAGACAUGCACGCUUUUUGUCUAGCAGCUUAUCCUGGAAACUGGGACUCGCAGUCCGGCCUCCCACCCCCGGGCCCAGUCCCAAGAGCUCACCCUGAAGACAUUCUGUCCAAGGUGCUCACAGAAGGGGUGAGCCUUCUGCUCUGCGGCUGGUCUCUGCAGGGAGCAAUGCACACAGGUAGGGCAAGGCUUUGCGCAGUGUUUCUAAGUGUACCAUUGCUCUCAUUUCAAGAGAGAGACAGGCAGUUACAGAGCAGGAGACAAAACAGCCUGCUUCCUACAUGCAAAUGGCUUCACUUAACUCACCCUUCCCAUGCCAGGCCCAGAGGUCAGCUUGUGUCCAGAGGGGAUCCCUCUGCCCCAUCAGAGCCCUGGUACUGGCAGCUCCCCUUGCAGCCUGAGCUCCUUCCCCUCUGUAACUUCCCAGUCCCUCAAUCAGGCAAUUUGGCCCCAAGCUUUCUCCAGGUGAUCACAGUCCUCUGCCAGGUGACUCUGUUGCCAAGGAAACCUCUCCCCUGACAAUCCGGUGCUCCUCCGUAGGAGCUAGUGUACUGUCAGUGUUUUUACAUUUCAGGGGUGCUGCCGUUCCAUCAAAGCCCCUCUGCUGCUCACUCCAGGCUGGUGCAUUUUGGAUGCUUUCAGACAGGAGGGAAAGACCAGCUUUACCAUCCGGAGGGAGUUUGCAGUCAGACACGCCUAUGCCAUGUUCAUCUGCUAAAACAGAAUCCCUAACUGGAGAGGCGCCCCAAAUCUUCACGGAGGAAGAUGAGCUGGAUUUCUGCAGGAGCGAGCUCCUCAUCAUCGGGGUUGCCUUGGCACAAGCUUAGUUGCCUGCUGUCUUCAAGUGCAAAAGCAGACGCUCCGAACACCAAGAGGUAGAUGAGCACAGAAGCCCAGGGGAAGGUCCUCAGGAGGAGGUCUUGAUUAAAACAGGGUCCAUCCCCUUCAUAACUUUGCAUGCUCACAGAAGCUGCCUUGCACUGAAUUGACCACAUACUGGGCAGCCGGCACGCAGAAUGCUGAGCUGGCUGAAUAUGAUCAUGACAGCUCAGAUCAGCAAGCAAGCCACGGCAUUUCUGAGCAAGCUGUAAGGAGCAGCUCAGCCUCACCAACAACCCAGCAAAAAGGGAAUGGUAGGAAUCGAGCCUGGAGGUUGGCAGAGCAUGCCUAGCUGUUACAUUGCGAGGCAAGUAGCAGAAAACAUUAUCGCUGAGCCUGCUACAAUCCCUUGGUAGGUGCUGGGGCCUGAGAGUUCUUUUAAUGAUAUAUUUAAAUUUAAAACCAGUGCUGGAGGUUAUAUAAUGGGUAAUGUCCUGUGUUGGCAAAAGAGGGGGCUAGGGGAAAUUUCAUCUGCUGCGGAAGUCAACAAAAGGCACCAGAACGUCUUACUGGGUUUCCUGCUGAAGUACCAAACAGCAGGUAAUGUAUCCCUUGGUUUUUGUUAACAACAAGUAGAUGUCUGAUCUUCCUGCCAAGGCAGCCAGAUGAAAAUUAAAUUUGUGUCUAAGCAGUAGAGAACUUUCAAAUAACAGCCACAAAAGCAUAGGGCAUUUUUCCUUCCCCUCUUAUUUCCUUGACUUUCUUUCAAGAUAAGCAUGUGUGACUUGGCUGUCAGUGCAGCUGUAACUCAUCAGUGAAAAUAAAUCAGUGCCUAAUACAUAGAAUCAGAUAUUCCAAAAAGGCAAUAGCAAAAAAAUCACCUUUCCUUUAUGUAGAUGAAUGUGUCUGUUCACAGAAUACAGUUUCUAUUAGCAAGGUACCGUUAACUUGCUGUCCAGGGUGGGUAGAAAGAGCAUUUAAAAAUUGAAAUCAUUACCUAGGUAUUGUUAGGAUUAAGAUGCUUUUAUCAGGACAGACCCUGGAGUCAGGAACUCACAAGUCUGUAUCUUUGAUUUUGAUAAGUGGGAGGUGAAGGAGUUGGAAGCCCAGACUCAGGGGAGUUUCACAACGUGCUCCUGGGCUGCAUGGAGCAUCUAGCUAUCAAUACAGUGUUAUACACUUCAGGAGAAAAGAAGAAUAAUCAAAUACUCCCUGGUAUCAUGGCCUCAGCCUGGGAGGGAUGCUUUUGUCUUGUUUGUCUGGGUUUUUUUACUGCAGAUCUGAGUGGGAGAGAAGGGUUUCAGCUAUUUUUAAAUUAUAAUAAUAAUAAACAAUCAAACCAAAAGCCUUUGGCAUAUUCAGAGGGUUUUGUACUCAGAUUCCUUCACUUUAGUAAAUCAUACCAGUAUUCAUCAGGUGAGUUGUUCCUCAUUGAACCUAAUAACUUUGCUUAUUUUCAAAUCUUUUACUGCUAGAAAAUGUGAAAGUAGCAUUGUUUGGCAUUGGCAAUUACAUAGCUCAGCAUUCCACUAAUGUCUGUUGGCAAACAAGGAAUAUAACCAAGUAAAAAGUGCCCAUUCGGACUAUAGAAAGAACAGUCGCCUACUCCCUGCAGUCUGUCAGAGCGGUAACUGGCACCAUAUGUCCCAAAUCCAUGUUUUUCCAGAAUUUUAAAAGAACAACUGGAGUGGCAUUGUUCUGCAUUUGGACAUCCUCAGACUGAGCUUAUGGCCUCUUCCUUGCAGAAGGGGCAGGAAGCGUGAAUCAGGUUGAUGCAAUAACUCCUAAAAGCAUUAAUUGGGUCCCAAAGCACUGGGUAGCAUGAAACUCUCUCGGGUAUUGUUUGCCAAUGAGCAGUCUGAUAAUAAAUGCUCUUCUGCAUUUCAUUAGGUGCCAGUAUUGUACUGUCACUCAGUAUCCUACCAAAUCAGCUCACGAGGUUGUGGAGAAUCUGGGAAAUGUAGGACUGGAGUUAAGUGUCUAAUUUUCCUUUCUAGGCUAUAAUACAUACAGGACAAACAUGGUUUGGAGACACCAUCUUUUGAUGACGUAGUAGGCUCUGCAGGUGAUUCUGGGGCAGCAUCUAGGAAAGAGAUGAGCCUAUACGUGCUAAAUAAAUGAAGUCCAGGUGCUCUGCAGAUAACCCCCACAGAAGCCUGAGACUUGACUGCUGAAUAAUCAGGAGUAUCGCAGAGGUAUAAGAACCACACAACGGAGGACCACAACAAGCCAACCUUUAAACGGGGAGGUGAUGUCCAGUCAGAAUGACCUUAGAGCAGUAGAGGCGCACAGUGAAAUGGAAAAGGACAAUGCAGGCACCCAGCAAAGCAGUGCAGGAUACCAGUGGGGUACUUGGAAAACAUGCAACAUUUGUUUGGGGAGGGAGAUCCAACUCCUCAUGCUUUUUUUAUGCGUAGACUCAUCCCACUUCUUAGUAAAUCUGCUUCCAUGGUG
Gavialis gangeticus (Gharial) is the source of this 3649-nucleotide long non-coding RNA. RefSeq lists it as uncharacterized. The transcript has 2 exons. The record is from RefSeq and is a predicted model, not a curated record. NCBI's taxonomy places the organism in Eukaryota, Metazoa, Chordata, Crocodylia, Gavialidae.